Molecule: ribosomal RNA, 253 nt
Filed under: uncultured bacterium
Lineage: Bacteria
Description: partial 16S ribosomal RNA
Rfam family: Bacterial small subunit ribosomal RNA
Source: RNAcentral
CGGAGGAUCCAAGCGUUAUCCGGAUUUAUUGGGUUUAAAGGGAGCGUAGGCGGCCUAUUAAGUCAGGGGUGAAAGACGGUGGCUCAACCAUCGCAGUGCCCUUGAUACUGAUGGGCUUGAAUGUAGUUGAGGUGGGCGGAAUGUGACAAGUAGCGGUGAAAUGCAUAGAUAUGUCACAGAACACCGAUUGCGAAGGCAGCUCACUAAGCUAUGAUUGACGCUGAGGCUCGAAAGCGUGGGAUCAAACAGGAUU